This 550-nucleotide ribosomal RNA is filed under the name Salmonella enterica subsp. enterica serovar Weltevreden. Its description in RNAcentral is "partial 23S ribosomal RNA". The stretch from base 1 to 403 matches the Rfam family "Bacterial large subunit ribosomal RNA", at positions 122 to 565 of the family's 2925-position model. The record is from RNAcentral. Lineage: Bacteria; Pseudomonadati; Pseudomonadota; Gammaproteobacteria; Enterobacterales; Enterobacteriaceae.
GGAAACCCAGUGUGACUCGUCACACUAUCAUUAACUGAAUCCAUAGGUUAAUGAGGCGAACCGGGGGAACUGAAACAUCUAAGUACCCCGAGGAAAAGAAAUCAACCGAGAUUCCCCCAGUAGCGGCGAGCGAACGGGGAGGAGCCCAGAGCCUGAAUCAGCAUGUGUGUUAGUGGAAGCGUCUGGAAAGGCGCGCGAUACAGGGUGACAGCCCCGUACACAAAAGCGCAUGUGCUGUGAGCUCGAUGAGUAGGGCGGGACACGUGGUAUCCUGUCUGAAUAUGGGGGGACCAUCCUCCAAGGCUAAAUACUCCUGACUGACCGAUAGUGAACCAGUACCGUGAGGGAAAGGCGAAAAGAACCCCGGCGAGGGGAGUGAAAAAGAACCUGAAACCGUGUACGUACAAGCAGUGGGAGCCCCACCACCAAAGCGUUUCGCUUUGUGUGGUGCACAAAGAAGCGUAACGACAGCACUGAAUGACGGUUAACGGAGCGCAAGCGACGUUCAACAUACAAAGUCAAGCAGUGGAGCGCUUUGGGGUGGGGUGAC